CUGUGUUGUCUAGUCGUUCUUGUUUCUUUUCUUCUUUUUGUUUUUCUUGUUUAUCAUUUGUUUGGUUUUGGUUGCUCUAGGAGCUGAGGCCCCAGUGACAACAGAUCCAGGGACUGUCCUCAAAGAGCCCACGGGCUGGUGUUCCAGGGCCAGGCAGAGCCCGCCUUCCUUGAUAAGGGAGUCAGAGCGGAAUUUCCCAAUCAGAAAUCAGGGACAGAAGGAAAAGGAGAGCAGGACACAUGGUCUUAGGUGUGGAGGAAGUGUGUGGGAGCGCUGAGGAAGGUGCAGCUGACUGCGGCCUGCCUGCAGCCCCCGGAGGCUUCAA
RNAcentral lists this long non-coding RNA (325 nucleotides) under Felis catus (domestic cat). RNAcentral describes it as "lncRNA (ENSFCAG00000051908.1)". Lineage: Eukaryota; Metazoa; Chordata; Mammalia; Carnivora; Felidae. The record is from RNAcentral.